GACAGAGGUGCCGAGCGUUAGGCGGAAUCACUGGGCUUAAAGCGUGUGUAGGCGGGCCGUUAAGUGUCUUGUGAAAUCCCCCGGCUCAACCGGGGAAUUGCUGGGCAUACUGGCGGUCUUGAGCAAUCUAGGGGCAGAUGGAACAAGUGGUGGAGCGGUGAAAUGCGUAGAUAUCACUUGGAACGCCAAAGGUGAAGACAGUCUGCUGGGGAGUUGCUGACGCUGAGACACGAAAGCCAGGGGAGCGAACGGG
This 253-nucleotide ribosomal RNA is filed under the name uncultured bacterium. Its description in RNAcentral is "partial 16S ribosomal RNA". It matches the Rfam family "Bacterial small subunit ribosomal RNA", at positions 524 to 776 of the family's 1533-position model. The record is from RNAcentral.